Molecule: small nucleolar RNA, 136 nt
Filed under: Carlito syrichta (Philippine tarsier)
Lineage: Eukaryota; Metazoa; Chordata; Mammalia; Primates; Tarsiidae
Description: U8 small nucleolar RNA (ENSTSYG00000028381.1)
Rfam family: U8 small nucleolar RNA
About the family: U8 is a member of the C/D class of snoRNA which contain the C (UGAUGA) and D (CUGA) box motifs. U8 is the RNA component of a small complex (the U8 snoRNP) which is required for accumulation of mature large subunit ribosomal RNAs, 5.8S and 28S rRNAs. U8 RNA has been identified in human, mouse, rat and Xenopus.
Source: Rfam by way of RNAcentral
UCAUGAGGUAGGAAAAUCCUUACUUGUUCCUCCUUUUGGAGGGCAGAUUAGAACAUGAUGAUUGGAGUUGCAUCAUGCAUGAUGAAUAUCUCUGAGUAAUCAGGACUUGCAACAUCCUGAUUACUCCUACUCUUCC